GGAAACCGUUCCCAACUCCUGCCUUUGGUGUCAGCUCGACAGGAUCAUGUGGCUAGACCAUGUGCUCUUGAUCCAGGCCGGGGUCACCAUCAGGGGGAUCUAAUUUCACCUCUCGUACCUGUUCUGCUUUUUGUUUCAGUGUUUCUUUGAAGGGGUGAAAUUCUCUAGGGCUAUGACACCAGAAGUCAGCAAAACUCCUCCUCAAUCAUCAGCCUGGACCAAGUUAUCGACCUGCCUGCAGUGGAAGCCAUAGAGAACGUAUUCUCCCUCAGGUAUUCCGCAAACCUGUGUCCUGCAGAGUGUGGUUGCUGUCCAACAUUUGGAUCCUUCCAGUGGCCCAGGACGGGAAACCAAGGCCCGGGGUCGGAUAGUCCGCAAGAAGCAGAAACAGGAUACCAAAACUGGAUUUUAGGGACUCAUCUGGAAUCCCACUUACCAGGGUCAGCUCUCAAAUACCUGCCGUGUCUCAGGAACACCACCAGCCCACUCACUCACUCCCUCAGGACCCAGUUCAUCUUGCUGAUAUUAUUUAUUCAUUCUAGGAAGAAAAACAAGGAAUGGUGACAGAGAUCAUGCUAAGUGCUCUGCAGAGGCAUCAUAGUCCCUAAAAGAGAUGAGAUGAGGAAAUGAAGGCAAAAAAGAAGGAAGUCACUUACCAUAAGGUUAUUCUGGGUGGAGCCAGGGCUCAAACUCAGGUACCUGUGACCGGCACUUGUGUUCUCCUACUAUGCUGUGUUGCCCACAAAACCCAAGGCCCGCUGAGGGCUGAAACCGAACGUCUGUUCCAAAACAUGUGGCUUCCUUGAAGGAGAGCAGGGCUGAUGAGGUGGCAUGGAAUAGAGGGACACAGGAAGAGACCUAAUGCCCUUGAUGCACCACUCCUCUCCUGCCAGCAAGAUGAACAGCCAUAGAUGGGAGAAAAGCCAAUUUCCCUUUAAAAAGGGAAAGAAAAAAAAAACCAAACCCAGAGAAGUGAGAUUAUUCAUUCACAUUUUUAAAAAAAUACGUUUUGAAAUUUUUAGCAGCAAAAUUAGCUGUUGAGCUAAAUUCUCUCCUCUUUUAGUUAAACUCAAUUAAAGAAAAUACUCUCUAUUAUUUUUCCGUUUUAGCAUUUUCUGCAACAGGGACCACAAUAUCA
Molecule: long non-coding RNA, 1138 nt
Filed under: Equus caballus (horse)
Lineage: Eukaryota; Metazoa; Chordata; Mammalia; Perissodactyla; Equidae
Description: lncRNA (ENSECAG00000054890.1)
Source: RNAcentral